CCUACGGGGGGCUGCAGUGAGGAAUAUUGGUCAAUGGCCGGAAGGCUGAACCAGCCAUGCCGCGUGAAGGUCAGUGCCCUAUGGGCGUUAAACUUCUUUUGUGCGGGAGCAAUAAUGGUCACGUGUGGCCAGACGAGAGUACCGUACGAUUAAGCAUCGGCUAACUCCGUGCCAGCAGCCGCGGUAAUAUGGGGAUGCCAGCGUUAACCGGAAUUAUUGGGUAUAAAGGGUGCGUAGGCCGUGAUGUAAGUUAGCUGUGAAAUGCCCCCGCUCAACGGGGUGAAGUGCCAUUGAGACUGCGUUGCUGGAGUGCGGAUGCCGUGGGAGGAAUGUGUGGUGUAGCGGUGAAAUGCAUAGAUAUCACACAGAACACCGAUUGCGAAGGCAUCUCACGAAUCCGCGAUUGACGCUGAUGCACGAAAGCGUGGGUAUCAAACAGGAUUAGAUACCCUAGUAGUC
RNAcentral lists this ribosomal RNA (459 nucleotides) under uncultured bacterium. RNAcentral's name for it is "partial 16S ribosomal RNA". It matches the Rfam family "Bacterial small subunit ribosomal RNA", at positions 338 to 795 of the family's 1533-position model. The record is from RNAcentral.